Molecule: long non-coding RNA, 2127 nt
Filed under: Pelobates cultripes (western spadefoot toad)
Lineage: Eukaryota; Metazoa; Chordata; Amphibia; Anura; Pelobatidae
Source: RNAcentral
UAUGAAUAAAAUAUUUCAUAUUCAUACACAAUUUGCAUUGUGAUUUUAUCGAGUAUAAUGCAAUUAUUAUUUUGCUACACUAGAAAUAUACUAAUUAAUUACGCUUAUGUCUUGCCUCAUUUUGCUUCUGGCAACGUUUGCUGCUGAUUUUUGAGACAAUAUUUUGUUGGUUCUUGAACUAUGUUGCCAUCUUUUAUUUUUAUAUUGAAUGGCACGUUAUAGAGCAAUUCUGUCUGCAUCACUCCAUUGAUAGAGUGAAAAAGGAGAUAUUCAAUCCCCAUUUAUAGCUCAUAACUUGUUUUUCUGGCUUCUUGAAAAUCAGUCACAAAGUCUCAUUCAAAUCCCAUUUUCUUUCACACAUCAUGUGACACCAAUGGACACUGCCUACAAUAAAGUAAAACGGAAAUUCACAUAGCCCAACUGUGUCACACAAAUAUUGCUCCAUACCGCAUGUUCCCUAAUUCAAUGUGCUAUGUAAACAUUAGCUCUCGCCAUAUAACAUCACAAUCUCACCGACUGCACUUUAAUCUACCAAGGACCAGGUAACUUGCAAAUCGUUUACCUCAAACCCCAGCUCAUUGGAGGAGCGCUGAACAGUGAACAACCAAAAUUGAUUAACCUUUUACCAUGGGUAAAUAUAUACGAUAUGUAAAAACAAAAACUGAGAGCCAGGAUUCUAAGGCUCUAGAAAAGGUGAGCUCAAUACUGAAGCUACUAUUGAUAGAAGCUACUAUUGAGGAGGAAAAAGUCUGUAUAUACUACACAAUUGUUUUUUUUGUUUUCUGGUUUGAGUUCUAGAUUUACCAGAAGAAAGAUGUGAUGCUGCCCUAAAAGCAUAAAAGCAUUAAUUACGGAGCCAGUAUAUUCAGGCUCUCAUACACAAAAAAUAAAUAGUUACCAUCUACACUACAUUUGUUUCUCUCUUGUUUUUACAUAUCUGGUCUAUGUUAUAUAUCCCAUAUUUACCAAUUGCAAAAUGGUAAGCAUUUUGGCUGCUCCCUAUUCAGAGCUCCACUAUUGUACAUACGUUUUAUGACGUGUACCUACUAUUAUAAGUUCCCACAGAAGUGUUUUUGAUCUGCUAUUUAUAGUUAUCACUUUAAGCACUUAAUAAUUGGCACACUUCCUCCUAUUGGAGUUUUUUUUGCAGUGCAUAGGAACAUUACACACAGGCUUGAGGUGCCCUAACAGCAUUCCUCAUGCUCAUCAUCAUGUAUUACAAUUGGGGUACUCGUAGAAACAUGCAGAAUUUUUCAAUAAAAGAAUAACAAGGAAGCUAUGUUGAUUAAUGCUAGAGAGGGUAGUUAACGUUAUGAUAGUAACAUAAAACAGUGGUUUGUGUGCCACUGGCUGGGACCUGGGUAGGCUGAUUGUGUUGUCAAGCAUGCAGAGCAAUGUUGGAAAAUGCUAUCGCAUAGUGCGCUCAGUUGCAGGAGUCUGGGAUUAGUGGUAGGUUGUGCAGUGCUUUACAUUCUUCCUAGUCGGGGUGCAUGAGGUUUAGCGCAAAAGGAAUACAGCAUGUCAAAUCUGCGGGAGGGUGCCCUGGUGUUAGCUACAAUUGGUCCUCAAGCACUGGUUCUCUAAAAUGACAUGAGUCGCUAACAUGAAAUGCCUUUCAUAGUGCUGCAUAAGGAAGGGCAACUAGCUAAGAUGGAUAAAAGCAGGCUAAGAAAUACUAGGCAAACUACAGGUAGCACUAUGCCAACAUUAUGUUACUUUACAGUCCCAGAGCGUGGACUAGGUUGGUGCCACUUGGUUAGAGUCGCUCAGCUUAUGCCAGCUGUCGUCUUGGUCAGGGUAUUGGUGCUAGGAGGGUCCCAGGAUUCUGUAGAGGGAGAGCGUUGGGGAACAGACCUCAUGCCCCAGGCCGAUUUGCAGGCCAGCAUCUUUGAUCCACGGACUUGGGGGCUCAAAGUCCAAGUCCUGCCCCAUAUUGGAGAGACAGAAGGCCCUGGUGGUGUGUCUCCAUUGACGGUGGGCGAUCAUGCCCACCAGGGAGUACCAAAACUGCGCCAAGGGGUCUGUGACCCUAGAUCCCUGCACUGGUAUUUCCUCUAUUUAACCUUACAAACAUUUACACUCAGGAGCAUUAAAGCCCUCUUAAUAAACAUACCACUACUGUUUAGC